Molecule: ribosomal RNA, 863 nt
Filed under: uncultured Methanosaeta sp.
Lineage: Archaea; Methanobacteriati; Methanobacteriota; Methanomicrobia; Methanotrichales; Methanotrichaceae
Description: bacterial SSU rRNA
Rfam family: Archaeal small subunit ribosomal RNA
Source: RNAcentral
UGGUUGAUCCUGCCAGAGGCUACUGCUAUCGAGGUUCGACUAAGCCAUGCGAGUCGAAUGUAGCAAUACAUGGCGUACUGCUCAGUAACACGUGGACAACCUACCCUUGGGACGGGGAUAAACCCGGGAAACUGGGUAUAAUACCCGAUAGAUCUCGGAAGCUGGAAUGCAUCGAGAUCAAAAGCUCCGGUGCCCAAGGAUGGGUCUGCGGCCUAUCAGGUAGUAGUGGGUGUAGCGUACCUACUAGCCUACGACGGGUACGGGUUGUGAGGGCAAGAGCCCGGAGAUGGAUUCUGAGACACGAAUCCAGGCCCUACGGGGUGCAGCAGGCGCGAAAACUUUACAAUGCCGGCAACGGCGAUAAGGGGACCUCGAGUGCCAGGUUACAAAUCUGGCUGUCGUGAUGCCUAAAAAGCAUUGCAUAGCAAGGGCCGGGCAAGACCGGUGCCAGCCGCCGCGGUAACACCGGCGGCUCGAGUGGUAACCGUUAUUAUUGGGUCUAAAGGGUCUGUAGCCGGCCGGAUAAGUCUCUUGGGAAAUCUGGCAGCUUAACUGUCAGGCUUUCAGGAGAUACUGUCUGGCUCGAGGCCGGGAGAGGUGAGAGGUACUUCAGGGGUAGGGGUGAAAUCUUGUAAUCCUUGAAGGACCACCAGUGGCGAAGGCGUCUCACCAGAACGGACCUGACGGCAAGGGACGAAAGCUAGGGGCACGAACCGGAUUAGAUACCCGGGUAGUCCUAGCCGUAAACGAUACUCGCUAGGUGUCGGCCACGGUGCGACCGUUGUCGGUGCCGUAGGGAAGCCGUGAAGCGAGCCACCUGGGAAGUACGGCCGCAAGGCUGAAACUUAAAGGAAUUGGCGGGG